AUGGAUGGUUUGGUUGGGCUGUUGAAGGUGCGCGUGGUGCGUGGGAUCAACCUUGCCUACCGCGACGCAAGAGGCAGUGAUCCAUAUGUUGUCCUUCGCCUCGGCAAGCAGAAACUGAAGACCAGCGUGAAGAGGCGAUCUGUGAACCCUAUCUGGCAUGAGGAGCUAACUCUGUCAAUCACGAACCCGAAUGCACCAAUCAAGCUUGCGGUGUUUGACAAGGACACCUUCAGCAAGGACGACCCAAUGGGGAACGCGGAGAUCGAGGUGCUGCCCUUUACGGAGGUCCUGGAACUGGACACCGAGGGCAUCCGCAACGGCACCGUGGUGCGGUUGGUCGCGCCGAGCAGCGGGAACUGCCUCGCCGAGGAGAGCCGCGUGUGCUGGAAGAACGGCAAGUUCGUCCAGGACAUGAUCCUGCGCCUCAGGGACGUCGAGAGCGGGGAAAUAAUGCUGAAGCUGGAGUGGGUCAAUAUGAAGAAGUGA
Molecule: ribosomal RNA, 486 nt
Filed under: Triticum aestivum (bread wheat)
Lineage: Eukaryota; Viridiplantae; Streptophyta; Magnoliopsida; Poales; Poaceae
Description: partial small subunit ribosomal RNA
Source: RNAcentral